This 253-nucleotide ribosomal RNA is filed under the name uncultured bacterium. RNAcentral describes it as "partial 16S ribosomal RNA". It matches the Rfam family "Bacterial small subunit ribosomal RNA", at positions 524 to 776 of the family's 1533-position model. The record is from RNAcentral.
UACGUAGGGUGCAAGCGUUAAUCGGAAUUACUGGGCGUAAAGCGUGCGCAGGCGGUUUUGUAAGUCAGAUGUGAAAUCCCCGGGCUUAACCUGGGAACUGCGUUUGAAACUACAAGGCUAGAGUGUGGCAGAGGGGGGUGGAAUUCCACGUGUAGCAGUGAAAUGCGUAGAUAUGUGGAGGAAUACCGAUGGCGAAGGCAGCCCCCUGGGAUAACACUGACGCUCAUGCACGAAAGCGUGGGGAGCAAACAGG